UUACCAUGGUGCUUUUAAAAGCAGAGCCUGGAGACGCAGAGGCUCCUCAAGGAGAGGUGAGAUAAAUCACGGCCCACUGUAGGCACGGGCAGCCGCCACCCCUGUCGGAACAUGACAGGGAUCCUCGUUCCUUUCAUCUCCAGGAUGCAGCGGGUGGCCUGCCUCCCCGUUCCAGCGUCUGAGAGGAGCUAUGCCUAUUUUGCACCAUGAACCUCCAAACUCAGAAGUCUCUGAGGAACCCUGAACAGGAGAAAAUGUGGCUGAAAAUGAAGUGGAAAAUCAGUGUGAUAACCAAAUCAAGAUCACGCCUUGCUGGGACCCUGUCACACUAAAGCUUCUAGAGCAUAAUACUUUUUAAAAUCUGUAAUAGCACCUGGAGUUUUUUCCCGUGCUUUCUACAAUUCAGCUCUUUUAGUCUGCUCUGAACCCUUGGUGGCGGCGGCUCACUGCUCAUGAACAGAUCCCCUCCUGGGGGGCUCCAGUGGCCCCCCGCAACGGUCCCAUUCCUGAGCUGUUUAUCCUCACCCUGGGGGGCCCCUCAGAUCACCCAGGCUCACUGCUCUGGAUGAGGCACAGGUGAGAAGGGCUGUGGGUGAGGCAGGGAGGACUUUGAGCCACCGUCCCCUCCUGGAAGUGUAUCCUAGGCCAUUUUCAGGUGUACAGCUCUCAGGGGAGACAAGAAUGCAUUGUUCCACCUGGUACGAUGGGCUGUGGGCCACAGAAGCACAUUCGCAAACCUCCACUUAGGAGAGCCACGUUCAGCAAAGCAGGAGAAGGCGGCAGAGGCUGGGAUGGGGAGACCAUCUGUGAGUGUGGUUCCCCCUUCCUGCCAGGUCUCCCAGGAGGCCAGGUGGCGGCUGCAGCCGGUGGCAGACACUCCCUUCCUGGGGUGCUGGCUGCAGCCGGCUGCCAUGGGACUCCAACCAGGGCUCUCCUGGGGCUCUGUUGACUCAACACAUCAUCUGACGCCACCCCGGCAGGCCCUCUGGGUGUCAGGUGCCAGUGAGACGGGUUGGGGAGGCUGGGACGGUGUCCAGACUGCCGCCUCUGCCCCAGAGCUCGUUUCCAUGGUGCCGUUCCCAGCUCUGAGCUCUCCUCAUUCACAUCACGAAGGCAGGGAUCGUGAGCUCUAGGGGUUGUCUGCCUCCAGUGAUUAAUCGGUACAAUUCUCCAUGGAGGAGGAAGAGAAGAGGAAGGAAAGCUGCAGAUGAAAGGGAAUUAAGCGUCUCGUGGUGGAAACAAAUGUAUUGGCUGCAUCCUUUCAAAGACAAUCUGGAAUCUCAAACCUAGGGUUUAUCUCUGCCCCUCGAGAACAACAACAAUUCUGGGAGUUCAGGGCUGUGAUAGAAAACGACAGCAUCACACCUGAAUUGCUGCCAGUGUUUUUAAUAGAGAGGUAGCCACUCACCCCGAGGGAGGUGGGAAGGGGGCCCUCUUGCUGGUGAGCUGGGAAUUCCUAACACUUCCUGUGUCUGACGCACAGUCACUACCACUGGGAGAGCUCGCUGCGGAGGGAGAACUCAGCCCUCUGUUUGCAUAAUCUGAGGGUCUGGAAAGCCCCCCCGCCCGCUUCCAGAUACCUCAUCUACUUGACAAACUUCCAAGACGCCCUGCCUCCCCUUUCUACACAUCGCUCUUCCCUGGAAGAUUCCUGCUUUGUUAUUCUUGGUCAAUCUGCAGAAGGCAGGCUGGACACUCCACAAAGGACCCAAGAGAGGAGCAGCCAUUAGGAAGGUGCGAGGCUGGGAGGGAAGAACAGGGCCAGGGUUCCGGAUUCAGUUGUACCACAUCAUACAUGUUGCCUCCAUGUAUUUUUCUCUUUGGUGUCAGGUUUCUAGAAUCAGUGCUUGAAAAAUGAUAUCUGAACACGGUGCUUAGGGGAGCCGGGUUUUUUCCACUUAUCUUCUGAUUCACUCCACAGCUUCCACAUCUAUUGUCACCUAAGCUCAUCGUCUGUGAAGCCCUCACUGGUUCCUAGAGUGAAUCAUUCCUCCUUUUCAUGCACUUAGCACAUUCCAACGUUAUCAAAUGAUGGUGUGCUCGGUUGUUUCUUGAUGCAUCUCAAUCCUUCCACUAAGCGUGAAUGGCCGUGAGUCUCACUUAGCGCUAUCCCACAGGGCCUGGCGCACUGUCCCAGCUCAAGAAAGAUUUGCGGAGCUUGCUUUAUGCAUAGUGCUCAACAAGUAGACAAAUCUAACUUUAAAUCUUAAGUUCUUUAAAAUAUACCGUUAGGAAAAUGAAACAAGAAACACGGCAGAGGGAAAACACAAUUAUCCCUCUGUGUCUGCAGGGAAUUGAUUCCAGAACCCCUCUCGGGCACCAAAGCCUAGGAUGCUCAAGUCCCCGAUAGAAAAUGGUGUAAUGAGUGCAUAGGACCUAUACACACCCUCCUGUAUGCUUUAAAUUAUCUCCGGAUUACUUAUAAUACUCAAUAUAACGGAAAUGCCAUGCAAAUAAUUAUUAUGCUGUGCUGGUUUUUCAUCUGUAUUUUUAUUGUUGUAUUAUUAUUUUUAUUAUUAUUUCCCCUGAAUAUUUUUGAUCUGCGGUUGGUUGAAGCUGAGGAGGUGAAACCUGCAGAUAAUGGAAGGCUGACCAUAUUGCAAAACACAUCUAUGAUAAAGGACCUGUAGCAGAGUAUAUAAAGAACUGUCAAAACUCAGCAACAAGAAAAAAAAAAAUUCUCAGUAAAAAAAAAAAAAAAAGUAGACAGAAGAUUUAAACAGAGACUUCAGCAAAGAAGACAUACAGAUGACAAAUAACGAUAUGACGUUCACCAUCAUUAAUCUUUA
Chlorocebus sabaeus (green monkey) is the source of this 2789-nucleotide non-coding RNA. The record is from RefSeq and is a predicted model, not a curated record. Lineage: Eukaryota; Metazoa; Chordata; Mammalia; Primates; Cercopithecidae.